This is a long non-coding RNA of Megalopta genalis, 764 nucleotides long. RefSeq lists it as uncharacterized. Lineage: Eukaryota; Metazoa; Arthropoda; Insecta; Hymenoptera; Halictidae. The record is from RefSeq and is a predicted model, not a curated record.
AUCAAAUGGUAUAGUUGUUAAAAUUUACUGAAAAUUUACAUCUGUGAAAGUUGAUUUAACGAACUCGAAUAUCGAAGAUGUUCGAAAGAUCUUGGGAGCGCGAUGCGUCAACGUUUUGCAGAUUAUUUCAAUGAUAGAACCGCGUACACUUGUAAGAAAAUAUAUUUUUAAAAAAUUGAUUAAUACAGACCUCGACUGGAAGGUCCAAUAAAGAUAGUCGGGAAUUCGUUGGAUCAUCUUCAACUUGUUCGCAGCUUUGUUCUUCGUCGCUCAUUUUAUUGAAAAUGGCCAGCACCGUGUGUUAUCUUUCUAAACAAUAUCAUUCGAUCGACAGCUAACCGCCGAUCCGUUAAUUCACCGUGUAGCAAGAACAACGAGAAAUGACUGUUGCUUUUCACCGACGUUAUUAUUGACCGUUUUGGUUCUGGGUGCACAAUGCAGCCUUGGACCAACGACCAACUCCCAAGAACAGAUACAGGGCUGACAACCAUAACCGUAGAAAUUUCGAAAUGAAUCGGCUACAGCUACAGCUAAAAAUUCGAAAUUAAUAUUUCGAUGAAGAUCUUUUUCUUUCGAUUACAAUACUGAUGGACCAAUAAAGUUAUAGUUUUUUUUUAAACAAUAAAUUGAUUUAUUAAUUUACAGAUCGAUUUUGCUACAUUUUCUCGUAAACGGCGUAACACAACGCGCAUUGUUAGAUUUAAAAUCAAUUAACAAUCGUAAUGUAAAAAUAAUAUUUAAGCGAUCAUAAUCGCAUUAUGACA